This 64-nucleotide transfer RNA is filed under the name Panesthia parva. RNAcentral's name for it is "tRNA-Asp". The record is from RNAcentral. Lineage: Eukaryota; Metazoa; Arthropoda; Insecta; Blattodea; Blaberidae.
GAGAAAUUAGUUAAUUAAUAACAUUAGAUUGUCAAGCUAAAAUUAUCAAUAAAGAUAUUUCUCU